CCAGCAGCCGCGGUAAUACGGAGGGUGCGAGCGUUAAUCGGAAUUACUGGGCGUAAAGGGUGCGUAGGUGGUUUAAUAAGUUAUCUGUGAAAUCCCUGGGCUCAACCUGGGAAGGUCAGAUAAGACUGUUUGACUCGAGUAUGGGAGAGGGUAGUGGAAUUUCCGGUGUAGCGGUGAAAUGCGUAGAGAUCGGAAGGAACACCAGUGGCGAAGGCGGCUACCUGGCCUAAUACUGACACUGAAGCACGAAAGCGUGGGGAGCAAACAGGAUUAGAUACCCUGGUAGUCCACGCCGUAAACGAUGUCAACUAGCUGUUGGAA
Molecule: ribosomal RNA, 321 nt
Filed under: uncultured Legionella sp.
Lineage: Bacteria; Pseudomonadati; Pseudomonadota; Gammaproteobacteria; Legionellales; Legionellaceae
Description: bacterial SSU rRNA
Rfam family: Bacterial small subunit ribosomal RNA
Source: RNAcentral